Molecule: microRNA precursor, 113 nt
Filed under: Arabidopsis thaliana (thale cress)
Lineage: Eukaryota; Viridiplantae; Streptophyta; Magnoliopsida; Brassicales; Brassicaceae
Description: miR771 stem-loop (ath-MIR771)
Gene: ath-MIR771
Source: miRBase by way of RNAcentral
UAAAUUCGUCAUGAGCCUCUGUGGUAGCCCUCACAAUGAUCUCAAUAGAGUGCAUGCCACGAUCUUGUAAAGACGUAGAUGAGGGCUCCUCAGGUGUUCAUGUCGAAUGUUAG